AGCGAACGCUGGCGGCAGGCCUAACACAUGCAAGUCGAACGAACCUUUCGGGGUUAGUGGCGGACGGGUGAGUAACACGUGGGAACGUGCCUUUAGGUUCGGAAUAACUCAGGGAAACUUGUGCUAAUACCGAAUGUGCCCUUCGGGGGAAAGAUUAAUCGCCUUUAGAGCGGCCCGCGUCUGAUUAGCUAGUUGGUUGAGGUAAUGGCUCACCAAGGCGACGAUCAGUAGCUGGUCUGAGAGGAUGAUCAGCCACAUUGGGACUGAGACACGGCCCAAACUCCUACGGGAGGCAGCAGUGGGGAAUCUUGCGCAAUGGGCGAAAGCCUGACGCAGCCAUGCCGCGUGAAUGAUGAAGGUCUUAGGAUUGUAAAAUUCUCUCACCGGGGACGAUAAUGACGGUACCCGGAGAAGAAGCCCCGGCUAACUUCGUG
RNAcentral lists this ribosomal RNA (434 nucleotides) under uncultured bacterium. RNAcentral's name for it is "partial 16S ribosomal RNA". It matches the Rfam family "Bacterial small subunit ribosomal RNA", at positions 29 to 507 of the family's 1533-position model. The record is from RNAcentral.